Long non-coding RNA from Solanum pennellii, 438 nucleotides. RefSeq lists it as uncharacterized. The record is from RefSeq and is a predicted model, not a curated record. Lineage: Eukaryota; Viridiplantae; Streptophyta; Magnoliopsida; Solanales; Solanaceae. The transcript has 2 exons.
AAAAAAUGACUAAUUUCUUCAUAGAUAUAAAGAAGAUUGAAGAUUUGUUUGUAUACAUUGUUUCUUGUGGAAAGUCUUCUAAAGUGUAGAAGGAGAAGAGAAUGAUGGAGGAAGAGUAAAUGUUUCAAGACCCCCAGGCCAAAGACCAGCUCCUAGGCCUCAGACUGGUCGAUAAUAAUUAAUGUUGUGAUUAUUAUUUCAAAAAACUUUGUUGUUUUCUGAUCGAAAAUAAUUAAUGUUAUGAUACUUUUUAAGAUUGUAAUUCUUAAUCUGUUUUAAAAAGAACAAUUUAAUUGUGCAACAUUUAUUUGUACAAUUACACCCAUAUAUAUGUAAUAUAUACCUUUUAUCAAUUUGUAGUCUAUGUGUGACUUGUUUAUACACAUAUACAAUUACAUACAAGGUCUGUUUUAAUGAAAGGUAAUUAUUCAACCUUAA